GUGGGGAAUAUUGGACAAUGGGCGAAAGCCUGAUCCAGCCAUGCCGCGUGUGUGAAGAAGGUCUUCGGAUUGUAAAGCACUUUAAGUUGGGAGGAAGGGCAGUAAGUUAAUACCUUGCUGUUUUGACGUUACCGACAGAAUAAGCACCGGCUAACUUCGUGCCAGCAGCCGCGGUAAUACGAAGGGUGCAAGCGUUAAUCGGAAUUACUGGGCGUAAAGCGCGCGUAGGUGGUUCAGCAAGUUGGAGGUGAAAUCCCCGGGCUCAACCUGGGAACUGCCUCAAAAACUGCAUGACUAGAGGACGGUAGAGGGUAGUGGAAUUUCCUGUGUAGCGGUGAAAUGCGUAGAUAUAGGAAGGAACACCAGUGGCGAAGGCGACUACCUGGACUGAUACUGACACUGAGGUGCGAAAGCGUGGGGAGCAAACAGGAUUAGAAACCCGGGUAGUCC
This 450-nucleotide ribosomal RNA is filed under the name uncultured bacterium. RNAcentral describes it as "partial 16S ribosomal RNA". It matches the Rfam family "Bacterial small subunit ribosomal RNA", at positions 354 to 796 of the family's 1533-position model. The record is from RNAcentral.